This 449-nucleotide ribosomal RNA is filed under the name Apanteles cato. RNAcentral describes it as "partial 16S ribosomal RNA". The record is from RNAcentral. Lineage: Eukaryota; Metazoa; Arthropoda; Insecta; Hymenoptera; Braconidae.
UCACCUGUUUUUCAAAAACAUGUCUUAAAGAUAAUAAUUUUAAGUCUAAUCUGCUCAAUGAAUUUUAAAUUUUUUAAUAGCUGCAGUAUCAAUAACUGUACUAAGGUAGCAUAAUAACUUGUUUUUUAAUUUUAAACUAGAAUGAAAGAUUAAAUGAAAUAUAAACUGUCUCAAAAUAAAUUUAUAAAAUUAUUAUUUAAGUAAAAAAACUUAAAUAAAUUUUAAAGACGAAAAGACCCUAAAGAAUUUUAAUAUUUUUAUUAAUAAUUUAAAUUUUAAAUUAAAAUAAUUUAAUUGGGGAAAUUUAAAAAUUUAAUUAAUUUUUUAUUAAAUUAAACAUUAAUUUUUGAAUAAAUAAUAUUUUUUUAAAAAAAAAAAUUAAAUUACCUUAGGGAUAACAGCAUAAUUUUAAUAAAAAGUUCAAAUUUAUAUUAAAGUUUAUGACCUCG